RNAcentral lists this unclassified non-coding RNA (21 nucleotides) under Dictyostelium discoideum. Lineage: Eukaryota; Evosea; Eumycetozoa; Dictyosteliales; Dictyosteliaceae. The record is from RNAcentral.
AAGUUCCUCGUCAUCAUCGUC